RNAcentral lists this ribosomal RNA (200 nucleotides) under uncultured bacterium. RNAcentral describes it as "partial 16S ribosomal RNA". It matches the Rfam family "Bacterial small subunit ribosomal RNA", at positions 390 to 582 of the family's 1533-position model. The record is from RNAcentral.
AGCAACGCCGCGUGGGGNAAGAAGGCCUUCGGGUUGUAAACCCCUUUCAGUUGGGACGAAGCCUCAGCGGUGAACAGCCGUUUGGGGUGACGGUACCUUCAGAAGAAGCCCCGGCUAACUACGUGCCAGCAGCCGCGGUAAUACGUAGGGGGCAAGCGUUGUCCGGAAUCAUURGGCGUAAAGAGCGCGUAGGCGGUCCG